Molecule: unclassified non-coding RNA, 271 nt
Filed under: Hevea brasiliensis (rubber tree)
Lineage: Eukaryota; Viridiplantae; Streptophyta; Magnoliopsida; Malpighiales; Euphorbiaceae
Source: RNAcentral
UCUGCUAUAAAGCCUACCUCUACAAUAUCCAAAUCAAACCCUUUAGUGGAAACCCCAAGAAGGGGCAGACAGAAAAGCAGAUUCUUGAACAAAAAAAGGCUCCAAUUACUCACUGCAGCUGAGUAAACUAUCCCUGGUCCCUUAAUCUUUGCUAUUUCUGGCUCCUAGCAACUAAAGAUUGGAUUUUUACUCACUCAGAAGCAAUAAAAACCCCAGCUUACUUGUUAUAAAGAACACUGGAAAAGUACAAUCAUGCCAAGACAACAAGUGG